RNAcentral lists this transfer RNA (82 nucleotides) under Echinostoma caproni. It matches the Rfam family "tRNA". From Rfam's summary of the family: Transfer RNA (tRNA) molecules are approximately 80 nucleotides in length. Their secondary structure includes four short double-helical elements and three loops (D, anti-codon, and T loops). Lineage: Eukaryota; Metazoa; Platyhelminthes; Trematoda; Plagiorchiida; Echinostomatidae. The record is from Rfam by way of RNAcentral.
AACUUCGUAGCUCCGCUGGUAGACCAUGCGCGUACAAAGCGUAGGCGGUGUCCAUGCGUGGGUUCGAAUCCCACCGAGGCUA